This 1347-nucleotide long non-coding RNA is filed under the name Marmota monax (woodchuck). Lineage: Eukaryota; Metazoa; Chordata; Mammalia; Rodentia; Sciuridae. The record is from RNAcentral.
CUUAAGUGGUCAUUAAUCAGUACCCCAAUCUCAGCCCAAUACACUGGUACAAGUUUAUGGGUUUUUUUUUGUUUUUUGUUUUUUGUAUUUUUUCCCCUUCCAGAUGUUUUUGUAUCCAGGAAAUUAUUUUUCUGUCUUCUUUUUCAAUAAAGCUUCCAAUAUUAGAAUAUUUCCCUUCCUCCCCAAAAUCUCCAUCAAAGGGAAACUGCUAACUCUCAGAGACAAGAAGCUCCCAAGGGACUGCAAUAGCCUCUCUCCUUUCACCCCAUUAAUGGCUAAGAGGAAGGGCUCUAGUCAGACUGCUUCAUGAGAAUCUUAGCUCUAUUACUUUCUACCUAGGUGAGCAUGGGAAAGUUCAUUCAUUCACCAUCCAUUCAGCAACACUUGAGCCCUUUUAUUGUCUUCCACAUCCACCAUUUUGGCCUAUGCCAUCAUUACUGCUUCUGACUUUGAUACUGAACAAGUCUCCCUGCAGUCACAUCUGCCCUUCUACACAAUCACGUCACUAGGCCACUCAUACCAUUCCCUGGCUUCCCACCAGCUAGAAGUCCAGUCACCAGGGGAGGAGGCCUAUAAGUUCCUCCCUGAUCUGCCCUCUCCCUAACUCACAUCCCAGACCUCUCUGACUUAUGCCUACUCCCCUACUGUUCUCUGUCUGCUCUAGCCACCUGGGCCUCCUUGCUGUUCAUCCAACAUGCCAACCUCGCCUUUUCCUUAGGACCUUUGCAUAUGCUGUUCCCUCUGCCAGAGAGUUCUUCCUCUAGAAUCUACUUGACUCAUUCCCUCUCUGUCAGGUUUCUGCUUAAAUGUCCUCUUCCUGGGAAGGCCCUCCUGGACAUGCAAAUAGUAGCCCCUCACUGUCACUUAACACUCCCUAGUUUCCUUUCCCCAUCUUGUUUUCCUCCAUACCAUACUAUUGAUUUCUUGGAUUCUUUUUUUCUCCUACUAGGAUGUAAGCUCUUCACAGAAGCAAUAUGCCAGCAUCCAAAAUGCCUGCAUAUAUCAGGUACUCAAUAAAUAAAUUUGCACUUGGAAAUCAUAAGCCUGAUCCUAUAGGGAAAGUCUUGGAAAGGACUUUGGGUUUUAUUUUAUUUUUAUGUAUUUUUUGUGGUGCUGGGGAUUGAACCCAGGGCCUUGUACAUGCAAGGCAAGCACUCUACCAACUGAGCUAUAUCCCCAGCAUGUGAAGUUGCUAUAGCUUAGAUAUGAGGUUCCCCCAAAAAAUCUUUCGUGUAAGACAAUGCAAGAAAGUUUAGAGGUAAAAUGAUAGGAUUAUGAGAGCCUUAUUAACCUGAUCAGCAUAUUAAUCCCCUGAUAGAGAUUAACUGGGUGGUCAUUGAGGGCAAG